Molecule: long non-coding RNA, 2010 nt
Filed under: Drosophila guanche
Lineage: Eukaryota; Metazoa; Arthropoda; Insecta; Diptera; Drosophilidae
Source: RNAcentral
GCUAGGUUUCGGUGUAGGUUUAGAAGUAAGCUUUAGUUUAGAAUUGGACGAAUAAAUGAACGGAGUGUUCACAUAAACUCCGACACGAGUCGUAAAACGUGCAUUGAUAUAAUCAUAUUGUUGAGCCUUUAAGGCCAUCGAAAUAGAAGGCAAUUACCCUCUCAACAUAAUCUUCGGUAGAAGACUCAGUUGCCAACCGCAACCACCGUCCCCAGCUACAAGAGCGGGCCACGGGAACCCGAUCGCUGCCGCCGGAGCCAACGCAACGCAUACAAGCAGCUUGGACCAAAAACGCCAUAAAGUUAAUUUGUAUUCUUCCGUCCGGUUUAUGGCUUUUUGUGUGCACGUUUCAUUUUUUUAAAGUAAUAAUAAGGUAGGCCCUAGCUUGGACAAGAACACCACACUCGUAGCCGACGAGCCAGCAGCCGGAACACAUAUAAGCGUGCCGUCCAAGAGCUAGGAAUUACAUCUUGGCUGUACAUGGGUUAUCCGUUAUAAACACUAACGUAAACAAAAACAAAUCUUCCUUUGCAGCUACACAAUCCCUUGGGCGAGUCGAGAGACAACUGCAACUCACGGUUGCAGUCGGUGAGUGAACCAAUCUUUUUCCCUCGCAAUUAAUUUCCGCUUCUUUUUUUCACAAGGAGUGCCAACUCCUCUUACUGUUUCGUUUUUUAUAGUUGUCCUGGCUCUCUCGAGUCGGGCAACUAUGCUGAUGCCCUGUCGGCACCGCACGGACCACAACUGGAGAGACCCCGAACCUCUCUUCCGAUCCGAUCCGUGGACCUCUCGAGUCGGACAAGGUUGCUGUAGCCCAUUUGGCUACACCCGGACCACAACUCGAGGUAUUCACUCGUCAAAUCUCUCCGAGGCCUCCACGAGUCGGACAACGUGGCUGUAGCCCAUUUGGCUACACCAGGACCACAACUCUCCUCCUCUACGCUGAACUCUUCUCCUCAACGGCUACUAUGGCUGGGGUGUAUUCCUAGCUCACGGACCAACAGGGUAUCUUGGACCCCCCGUCUAAAACCGAUGCCUUUCGUUUCCAUUGGGCGCCAUUUAUUAGGGCGCCACUCGUUUUCCUUGGGCGCCAUUUGUUCUGAUCCGCCUUUUUGCCGCCCUGGUCUAUCGUUCCCGGCUAGCUCUCGGGGAACUCAGGGGUGUUUUCGACCCGAUUGCCAGGGGACGGAUUUAACAAAAAAAAACCUAUUUUCUCGCGUGCAACGGACAGAUCUCAUUUUUUUACACGCGUCUACGUUAGCACUCUCCUCGGUGGGGUCAGUCGGUGUUCUAUUUGACCAUCGCGACUCCCUCCCAUCCAUGAGCGUUCAAAAUGUUGCACGCUCCCAUUUAAAAACAGCUGGUUCCACUCUUCCGACCUCUCUCGUCUCACCCAAUCUAAGGAGCUCUAAUCCAUUUUAAUUUUCUUUUUAAAUCUUCAAAUGUAAUUCAACAUUUCUUUAAUUUUAUAACUAUACUUAAUUCCUAAAACAUUUUUACCUCGACUGACAUUCACCUUGCGGAAUAAAUAAAUACUAACAUAAAAAUACUAACAUUAAAAAAAAUACACACGGAUUCUAUUUUUUGCCCGAGGUGGCUUCCCCAAUUUUAGGUAAACAAACCGGCAAUAAUUGACAUGCACAUUUAAAUGGUUAACCAGAAAAAUGUGCCAACUGCAACGAAGAUCAUGCUGCUAGUUACAAAGGGUGUAAAGUCUAUCAGAAUCUUUUAUCAAAACCACCAGAGAAACACCAAAGAUGACAAUAAUAAAAAUGACCAUGGCACAUAUCAUUUGCUCCGUUUAAAAAUUCGACCCAACAACACAAAGAUUACCAAUCAUACGCUCAAGUUGCUGCAGGAAAUAGUACCUCGAACAAGUCUCUAGAAAGAAUAGAACAGCUUCUAAAAAAACAAUCUCAACUUACCAAUAAUUUACUUAACAUGAUAAUGUUACUUGUAAAUAAGCUAUGCAAAUAAUUCUAAACUUAGGAAUAUGGAAUGCCAAUGGGC